RNAcentral lists this ribosomal RNA (450 nucleotides) under uncultured bacterium. RNAcentral describes it as "partial 16S ribosomal RNA". It matches the Rfam family "Bacterial small subunit ribosomal RNA", at positions 354 to 796 of the family's 1533-position model. The record is from RNAcentral.
GUGGGGAAUCUUCCACAAUGGACGAAAGUCUGAUGGAGCAACGCCGCGUGAGUGAAGAAGGGUUUCGGCUCGUAAAGCUCUGUUGUCGGGGACGAAUGUGCAGUAUUUGAAUAAAGUACUGUAAUGACGGUACCUGACGAGGAAGCCACGGCUAACUACGUGCCAGCAGCCGCGGUAAUACGUAGGUGGCCAGCGUUGUCCGGAAUUAUUGGGCGUAAAGGGAGCGCAGGCGGGAAGGUAAGUCGGUCUUAAAAGUGCGGGGCACAACCCCGUGAUGGGAUCGAAACUAUCUUUCUUGAGUGAAGGAGAGGAAAGUGGAAUUCCUAGUGUAGCGGUGAAAUGCGUAGAUAUUAGGAGGAACACCAGUGGCGAAGGCGACUUUCUGGACUGUAACUGACGCUGAGGCUCGAAAGCCAGGGGAGCGAACGGGAUUAGAAACCCGGGUAGUCC